RNAcentral lists this transfer RNA (73 nucleotides) under Myotis lucifugus (little brown bat). It matches the Rfam family "tRNA". From Rfam's summary of the family: Transfer RNA (tRNA) molecules are approximately 80 nucleotides in length. Their secondary structure includes four short double-helical elements and three loops (D, anti-codon, and T loops). Further hydrogen bonds mediate the characteristic L-shaped molecular structure. tRNAs have two regions of fundamental functional importance: the anti-codon, which is responsible for specific mRNA codon recognition, and the 3' end, to which the tRNAs corresponding amino acid is attached (by aminoacyl-tRNA synthetases). tRNAs cope with the degeneracy of the genetic code in two manners: having more than one tRNA (with a specific anti-codon) for a particular amino acid; and 'wobble' base-pairing, i.e. permitting non-standard base-pairing at the 3rd anti-codon position. The record is from Rfam by way of RNAcentral. Lineage: Eukaryota; Metazoa; Chordata; Mammalia; Chiroptera; Vespertilionidae.
GCUGUUUUGGCUCAGUGGAUAGAGCGUCAGCCUGCAACCUGAAGGGCCCCAAGUUCGAUUCCGGUCAACAGCA